CCUAAAACUUAAAAUUACAGCCUAAAAGUACAAGCAUAAGAGAAUACAGGCUUCUGAAGCCCAAAAAAUGCUUCUAAAACAUCAAAAGUCCAAGGCCUAAUAGGCAAACCCUAGAGUUAAAGGAGAAGGUGCUAAAUGUGUCAUCGUCACCGUCCUUUAUUGCCUUUGCUAUGCAGGUAAGAUCAUCUCCUGAAUCCAACAUAGAAAAGAAAAACUAUUGAACAACUUCAAGAGAGCAAGAUAGGAAGAUAAGACAACAACAUCGAAACUCAUCUAUUCCCUUAAACUAAACAAAGCUUCAUAAAUCAACCAUGAAAGUCUCACCCAGAAAGCUCUCCUACAACCUGCAUAUCAUUUAUUUGAAGCCUAGAAAUAGAGGAGCUAUCUUUAGGAAUAUAGAUCCAAGGGUGGAGAGGUUGGGUCAAACAAAAGGUAACAAAAUCCAACUUAAGUCAUCAAGUGUUGAGAAUGGCUAAGAGUAAAAAAUAAUGAGAUUUAACAGCCACAUGACGGGGUACUCGAAACUCCUUUUACAGAUUCAUAUUCAGGGUCACCAUGGAGGCAUGCAAAUAUGAUUAUCAACUUUAGGAGGUAGCCAUUGCUAAAAUAAAGCUCCCUCACCGAUCUUGAUACAACUCACAAAGGCAGCCAUGAAGAUAGAGACUUGAGGAUGCCAAUAGUGCUAAUUAUAGGGGCACACUCCGAUAAGCUUCAGGAAUAACUUCAUAUUUAUGUAUAAGUUUAGAUU
Molecule: long non-coding RNA, 748 nt
Filed under: Manihot esculenta (cassava)
Lineage: Eukaryota; Viridiplantae; Streptophyta; Magnoliopsida; Malpighiales; Euphorbiaceae
Description: long non-coding RNA (MESC_LNC000215)
Source: RNAcentral